Molecule: ribosomal RNA, 1202 nt
Filed under: Bicosoeca sp. HFCC85
Lineage: Eukaryota; Bigyra; Bicosoecida; Bicosoecidae
Description: eukaryotic LSU rRNA
Rfam family: Eukaryotic large subunit ribosomal RNA
Source: RNAcentral
CACACUGGGGAUAAUUUGGCUGGAAAGCCGAAUCGUAGAGGGUGACAAUCCCGUACAUGCCUCAGACCGUGCUGCGUACGGUGCGCUUCCGAAGAGUCGGGUUGUUUGGGAUUUCAACUCAAAGUGGGUGGUAAAUUCCAUCUAAGGCUAAAUAUAGGCAAUAGACCGAUAGCGAACAAGUACUGUGAAGGAAAGAUGAAAAGAACUUUGAAAAGAGAGUUAAAAGGACUUGAAAUUGCUAAAAGGGAACCGUUUGGAACCAGUGUGACGGCCUCCCAUACUGCCUCUGCUACAACAGCAGAGGUUUCGUGGGGGGAUGUCAGUCAGCAUCGGUUGGGUGCGCGGGAGAGCGCCUCACGGGAAGGUGGGCUGGCCCUCAUUUACUUGGGGUGUCCGGUCGUUAAGCCCGAGGGGAGUGCGUCGUGCACCCGACCGAGGAAAGACGAAGCUGCGCACACAGCCCGGAGGGGGCGUUGGUGCCCGGCGUGGUGGCCUCAGCAUGCUGAACCGCUACGUGCAGGGUGCCAGCUGCCCUUAAAGGGAGCGUGGUGAGAUGCUGACAAAAUGGUUUCAAAUGACCCGUCUUGAAACACGGACCAAGGAGUCUAACAUAUGUGCGAGUAUUAGGGUGGCAAACCCUGGUGCGCAAUGAAAGUGAAGGUGGGUGUAACAGCCCGCUGAGGUAGGAGGGGUGGCGUCCGCGUCGCCCCGCACUAUCCACCGAUCCUGAUUCUUUGAUGAAAGAUUCGAGUGUGAGCAUAGAUGUUGGGACCCGAAAGAUGGUGAACUAUGCCUGAAUAGGGCGAAGCCAGGGGAAACCCUGGUGGAGGCUCGUAGCGAUUCUGACGUGCAAAUCGAUCGUCAAAUUUGGGUAUAGGGGCGAAAGACUAAUCGAACCAUCUAGUAGCUGGUUCCCUCCGAAAUUUCCCUAAGGAUAGCUGCAACUUGUACAGUUUUAUCAGGUAAAGCGAAUGAUUAGAGGCCUCUGGGACGAAAUGUUCUGGACCUAUUCUCAAACUUUAAAUGGGUAAGACGAGCGACUUACUUCAUUGAAGUCGUUCCGCGAAUGGAAGUUGCUAGUGGGCCAUGGCCGGUAAGCGGCUCUGGCGAUGCGGGAUGAACCGAACGUGAUGUUAAAGCGCCAGACUAUCCGCUCAUGAGAACCCAUGAAAGGUGUUGGUUCAUUUAGACAGCAGGACGGU